AUUAGUCUCGUCAAACGUUAGACUAAACUCUAGUGGUAAUGAUACUAGGUUUCGUCAAGGGAUAAUUGUUUUAAGAGUAACGAAGUGUUGUCCGAGUGCCGACUCACCACCUUACCAGGUGAGUGCAUAGUACCUUUCAUAUUACACAUAGAUAUGAAGUAUUUUAAUAUAAAUUACGUGCUAUGUGUGGAUAUUGUCUGAAUACUUGCUGUCUAUACUGAUGAAAGAUUUUUAUACAUGAUGUAAGCUAUAUAAAGUAUUUUAUAUCUACAAAAUAUGUUGGGUAAAACAUGGGUAGAUGAAUGAUGAGGGAUAAAAGUUGAAAUAGAGGAACAUUAGUAGUACGGACCUAGUGCCCUAUAGGUAUACAUUGGCAGCAGUGAACCUAGUACCCUAUAGAUGAGCACUGGCAGUUGCGCUACAACCCGUAGAUGAUUUAGAUCUACGGUAAACGUCCUAGCAAUUGCGCUCUAAGGACACUAUAGGCAUCUGCGCCUAAUAGGGAGCCUUAUGACCAUGAAAGUUGCGUUUAAAGGUCAAUACCGACAGAAGCGCCUCAUAGAAAAUGUCCCAAUUCUGGCAGCUACGCCUAAGUGAUAAUAUUAGCAGCUGCGCUUGACCAAUGUGUCAUUGACAACAAUGGACUUCAUGUUGUUUCCUUAGGAUGAUCCUUAGGAAUGAAUGAAUGAGAAAUAGCUGAUUCUUAGGGUAGAUCCUUAAGAAUAAAGAAGAUAAUGGGGAUGGGUAAUUGGGUUGAUUGUUUGAUUGUUUAAACAUAAUAAUUAUAUUAUUGUGGGUUGUAAAACCUAUGUACUCACCAGGUUUCCCAACUUGACCCACUCAGUUUAUUUAUAUCACAGGUGUCGAUAUGAAGUCACAUUACACUGAGAGAUUUAAAAGAGAUGUAGAUCACUAGUGUAAAUGAAUGUAAGUUCUGUUUAUGCUUAUGUUUCUGUAUUGACGAUGACAUCCCAAAUGUUUUAAAAGUGAAUAAAAAUAUAUUUCUUCAGAAAUGCUUUGAUAACGCGAUUAUCAUGUUUUUCUAGGAACAAAUUCCGCAACAUUUUUAUUAAAAGAGAUACUCUGAUUUUUAUAAAGCAUAAAUAAAAUCGGUCUUUUCUGGCCGUGAAAAUGGGGAUGUCACAGUUGGUAUCAUAGCAUUAGUUUAAGCGAACUAGGAAUUUGUAGGAUUUCUAGACUUAAACUUAGAAUGCUAAGCGAUGAUUGUGAGGUGUGAGCACUAGUUUAUUUUAGGAAAGAUGCCUAAAAUGUUUUAUGUGCUAAAUGUUUUAUGUUAUAGCUAUAAAGAUGCCUUAUAUGCUAUUAUUUGUUCGGAUCUAUGGUCUGUUGCCGACCGGAUCUGGAAAUUUUAUGUGUUCAGAUUUCAAAACAUUUGAUUACAGUAUUAGAACUGGCAUAUAACUUUUCGGUGUGACAAGGAGAUCUAUACGUCUAUCAUAAAUAAAAUCUUUCCUAUCUUUAAAUUCUCGCCUCGGUACACUGAACGUCUGUUUGGGUGUACAAAAUGUCAUGGUGAAGACAGACUAGGAAAUAUCCGAGGAAGAUGACAACUUGAGCCUAAGAAUGUGAUGGGUCAUGCAUCGGUCAUUGUGCCUGCACCCAAACCUUUCACAAUGGCAGAAGUUCAAAAACUGAUGCGAACCAUGAUAGACUGAGAAAAUAAAGGAAAUCAGAUGGCUUACGAUGGUGAAUGAUACCUAUCGGAAGAUAUCAUAAGAGGUACCUUGCCUUUAGAAUACGUCUGAUAAAAUAGCAGUACAUCUAGAGAAGUACGGUACAUCUGAAUGUACACAUUUGAUUGGCGGGAUGAUAGAACGAUUGGUGUAAUUCCUAAAGUUUUCCUAUCAUCUGGAAUUUCCACCACCAACCGAGUUGAAGCAGAAUUGAUGAUUGAAGAUACUCAUGGAAGAAGUCCUAGUAGAGUCUAGGGAAAUUUUUAUGAUUUUUUGGACACAUUUAUAUGUGUUAAAAAAUUGUUUUUUUGUGAUAAUGACUUGGAAAACUACGAGACAAUACUUGGGAUGAGUAUGAGUAGGUGUGAAUGGUAGUAGAGGCCUAUACUACCGGAAGCACAUGACUCACACUUGGAUCAGGGAAAGUCAAAAGGUUACCAGAAGCUAGUAAUUGAUUUCAUUUUAUUCAAGUAUGCUGUUACCAUUGUUUCGGUAAUGACUAAGAAGAUUGUUGUUAUCCCGACCCUAGUGGUCAUAUUACAUUGAGUCCGACUACGAUGAGUAGGUUACGUGGUUCAGAGAACCAAGUUUGAUGUAGCGUCCGACUUAAACCAAACGAUUGAAAUCAAAGCGAUCAAUAGAAGUAUCGCGCUCAUUGUUAAAAAAGUUGGUAGCUAGAAAUGCUACAUGUUAAAAUGUGAUUAUAUCACAUUAGACCAUGAAGGAAGGCAUAUUCCAUUCCGGAAUUUGACUCUAAGAGACCUGAGUCUAAGCAUUGCUACAUACGAUGAUAGGUCAUUAGAAUAUGACACAUCGGUCAAUUGUAGUAAUCAAAUUAACGUAUCCUAAGUUUUCUAAGAAGAAGAAGGAGUCUCUGAUAAAGAAUGAGGUUGUGACACGAAGGUCAUGAUUGAAAGUCUAACGAGCAGGUGCAAGACCGAGCGCCGCCUGCAGUCAAGGAGUCCAAGAGUUAGAUACCCGUUUGAAGCAACAUAGAAGUUACAGUUAUUACCUAGGAUGAAGAGAUAACAUAUGGAGUCAUUAUAUUGUAAUCAUCUUAAGGGGGAGAUAAUUGUAACGCCCGCAGAUCUAGGCUAGUCAAUUUAGAGGAAAUAAGUGUCGAAAACGACUUUUCGGAAAAAUAUUAUUUAUAAUAAAUAGUCUUAACCAAGUUGUAUAAUAUGUCUCAAGGUUUCCGUACAUAUAAAGAACACCGAAAUCCGAGUUAUAACGAAGAAGUUAUGGCUCGUCGAAGUUUUACGGCAAAACCGGCACAACACCGGGAAGUGUAAAUAGUAAAUUUACGAUAGAGCUAUUUUUAGCCUUAGUGAUCUAAAACAAAGUUGUAGUAUACGUUAAACCGAGAACAUCCAUAAAAAGAACGCCCAAAUCUGACUCUGUAUGAGGGAGUUAUGAUUUUUCUAAGAUUUGACUUAGCAGUGCACGACCCGAAACUCGAAUUUUAGUUCGAGCGGUUUUUGGAUUACGCGACCUAAAUGAGAGUUGAAGACCUCAUUAAUAGGAACUCAACGGUAAAAAGAUAGACGAAAACGGAUUCCGUAUGAAGAGGUUACAAAUUCUUUGCGGUCAUUUAACAGUCUAAACGCCUCCUACUGUUAAAUUUGAGAUCGGUCGAGAAUUAGCCGACGGAGUCUAAACGAAAGUUGUAGAUCUUGAUUUUACCUACGCGUUGAAAAAAAGAAUGUCGAAAACAGAGCUUUUAUGCGAGAUUUAUAAUUUUUCUAUGUUUGAAGGCUGAUACGCGAUAGGAGGUGACGUGGCACCACCGGAAUUGGACACGUGGCACCACCAGAAGGCUGCCACAUGCCCCAAAUCGAUGAGUAGGUCCUCCUAAUCGGCGAUUCAAUCAGGAAUUCAGCCUAUAAAUAGAGGUUUCAGGUUCCUCCAUUUCCCACACCUUUCCCCACAUUUUUCUCUCUCUAAACUCUCUCUCUAGCCCCUAACCCCCCCUAAAAGCCUAGAUAAACCCCCUAGCACCCGCAGGAAGCCCCGAGGCUCCCGGAGUCUCGUGAAAAGAGCCUUUCGGCUCGGGAACGCUGCUCCAGCAAAGCCCGGUUUUUGUGAAAAACCCGUUGUAAGUGAGCUAUGCCUACCAUAUCUUUAGUAUAGCUUAUGUUUCAAUAUAGUAAUGUUAUUAGGACCUUAUAAGGAAUAUUUGGGGUAUUAGUAUGGGUUAUAUAAGUAUUGUUUAACGCUUAUAUAAUAGUAAUAAUAGCUAGACUAUUAAAUUAGUCUCUUCAAACGUUAGACUAAACUCUAGUGGUAAUGAUACUAGGUUUCGUCAAGGGAUAAUUGUUUUAAGAGUAACGAAGUGUUGUCCGAGUGCCGACUCACCACCUUACCAGGUGAGUGCAUAGUCCCUUUCAUCUUACACAUAGAUAUGAAGUAUUUUAAUAUAAAUUACGUGCUAUGUGUGCAUAUUGUCUGAAUCCUUGCUGUCUAUGCUGAUGAAAG
This 4169-nucleotide long non-coding RNA is filed under the name Lactuca sativa (garden lettuce). RNAcentral's name for it is "long non-coding RNA (LSAT_LNC009343)". Lineage: Eukaryota; Viridiplantae; Streptophyta; Magnoliopsida; Asterales; Asteraceae. The record is from RNAcentral.